RNAcentral lists this ribosomal RNA (479 nucleotides) under uncultured bacterium. RNAcentral's name for it is "partial 16S ribosomal RNA". It matches the Rfam family "Bacterial small subunit ribosomal RNA", at positions 28 to 523 of the family's 1533-position model. The record is from RNAcentral.
GACGAACGCUGGCGGCGUGCUUAACACAUGCAAGUCGAGCGAUGAAGCACCUUCGGGUGUGAAUUAGCGGCGAACGGGUGAGGAACACGUGAAGAAUCUGCCUUCAACUCUGGGAUAACUCCGGGAAACCGGGGCUAAUACCGGAUAUGAGCCUUGAUCGCAUGAUCGGGGCUGGAAAGUUUUUCGGUUGAAGACGACUUCGCGGCCUAUCAGCUUGUUGGUGAGGUAAUGGCUCACCAAGGCGACGACGGGUAGCCGGCCUGAGAGGGCGACCGGCCACACUGGGACUGAGACACGGCCCAGACUCCUACGGGAGGCAGCAGUGGGGAAUAUUGGGCAAUGGAGGAAACUCUGACCCAGCGACGCCGCGUGAGGGAUGAAGGCCUUCGGGUUGUAAACCUCUUUCAGUAGGGAAGAAGCGAAAGUGACGGUACCUACAGAAGAAGCACCGGCUAACUAUGUGCCAGCCGCCGCAGUAA